RNAcentral lists this long non-coding RNA (564 nucleotides) under Oryza sativa aus subgroup. RNAcentral describes it as "lncRNA OsNaBo_06g0011200". Lineage: Eukaryota; Viridiplantae; Streptophyta; Magnoliopsida; Poales; Poaceae. The record is from RNAcentral.
GGGCGAACCCCACCGCCGGCACCGACCCCCCUCGUCUCCCCUCACCUCACCACCGGCAAAGCUGGCUGGCGAGCUAGGAAGGCGGCGGCGGGGCUUUCUCCGCGGUGGUGCCCCCCUCUCAAGCGUAGGGGAGGUGGAGAUUUUCGCCGGCGGCCAAGAGUGGCGACGGCGAGGGAUCCCGGCCAGGCGGCGGCAGAUCUGGCACCGCCGUCACCGGAUCUGGGCAGUGCGCCUGCGGCGGCGGUGUCGUGGGGUGGCGCGAAGCGGAGGAGGCGCGGCUGGAGGCGACCGCUGCGGCGUCUGGUGGCUUGUGAGGCGGCGGGGCCGUCGCAAAGGCGGCUUGCGCAGCCGUGCAAGGCGGCAGACACGCGCGGUGGUGCGGGCGCCGGUGCGUGGGCGGCGGAUUGCCGAUUCGGCGAGUCUGGCCUCCGGCCACCUCUCCCUGUCGCCGGCAUCUGCGGAGGCCGCCCCUACAACCACCCUUUUCUUCUUCCUUGGUGCCCUCCUCCUUUCUCUGUUCCUCUCUGUGUUGUCUCUCUUCCUUCGGCCACCCUUCGCCGGUAG